This 253-nucleotide ribosomal RNA is filed under the name uncultured bacterium. Its description in RNAcentral is "partial 16S ribosomal RNA". It matches the Rfam family "Bacterial small subunit ribosomal RNA", at positions 524 to 776 of the family's 1533-position model. The record is from RNAcentral.
UACGUAGGGGGCAAGCGUUGUCCGGAUUUAUUGGGCGUAAAGAGCGUGUAGGCGGCUUUACAGGUCCGUUGUGAAAACUCGAGGCUCAACCUCGAGACGCCGGUGGAAACCGUAAAGCUAGAGUCCGGAAGAGGAGAGUGGAAUUCCUGGUGUAGCGGUGAAAUGCGCAGAUAUCAGGAAGAACACCCGUGGCGAAGGCGGCUCUCUGGGACGGUACUGACGCUGAGGAGCGAAAGCGUGGGGAGCAAACAGG